RNAcentral lists this long non-coding RNA (205 nucleotides) under Erythranthe guttata (spotted monkey flower). RNAcentral's name for it is "long non-coding RNA (EGUT_LNC002746)". Lineage: Eukaryota; Viridiplantae; Streptophyta; Magnoliopsida; Lamiales; Phrymaceae. The record is from RNAcentral.
CUCCAAUGCAUUUUCGCACACCAUCAGGCCAUAUGCCAAAGAACGAACACUACAAUUUUCACUCUCGACACGAUUGAGAACCCAUUUCGACAUGGCCCCCACAUCGACUCGAGAGUGGGGGGCUUAAUGAUAUGCCUAAUUGGGUCAACCCAAUGGGCCUACAAUUUAUUUACCUACUGGGCCACGAGCCCAAUAUCGAAGACCA